This 1543-nucleotide long non-coding RNA is filed under the name Capsicum annuum. RNAcentral's name for it is "long non-coding RNA (CANN_LNC001071)". The record is from RNAcentral. Lineage: Eukaryota; Viridiplantae; Streptophyta; Magnoliopsida; Solanales; Solanaceae.
UAAAGCUCUCUUUUUCUCUCACAAGAAGAACUUGGACGGAGUUUGCUUUCUCUUUUGUAUUUUUAAAGUUUAUUUUGAUAUUAAUAUCAAAGUUCAACUUUUAAGUUGUGUCUUUUUCAUUUACUUUACUAACUUAUCUUUUUAGUGUUCUUUUUUGUCAUUUUAUAUAUUGUACAAUCAAUGUACAGACUUCAUUCGAUGCUGCAUCAUUUCACGAUUCAGAUUUAGGUACACAAAUUCAUAAUCAGGCACAUCGUUGAGUUCAUCACUUCCAGCUUCUGGUGAGUCCUCCCUACUUUCUGGAGGUGUAGUUUAGAUUUGAUUAGUUGUUUUCAGUUAUUUAAGAUUUGUCGGGAGCCUUAACCUUGUAGACAUUGUUUCUCCUAUUUAAAGGCUUCAUACACAAUUUAAUUGAUAGACAUCUGUUAUCUUCAAAUUUUGAUUUUCAUGUCAUUUCUUUUAUGGGAUUCAUGUUUUCUUCUUAUUAAGUAGUGAAGUCUGCUUUUUAUUAAGACAUUUUUAAGUUUUACUUACGAUUUCCUCAAUAUAUACUAAUUAAAUGCUCAUGUCAUAUGUUAGGUAGUUCGCUCGGAUUAGCAAUGACAUCGGGUGUCAGCUACAUCAAGGUUAGGCGUGGGGCAUGACAUGAGUACACGUAAAUUUGUACUAGAACUUGUAUAUUUCUGCAGCUUGUUGUGUAGGUUAUUAGAGUACUACCUCCGAUCGGUGAGAGAUAGAUGUAUUUGGAGUACUUCCUCUCGAGGUCUCAAGGUUGCUUCCUGGGUGAGUGAGGGUAAAACUAAUUUUGUUUUUUUAACUUGUCCAAAAAAGACACAUUACUUUUCUACCUGUAGCAUUUACUUUUAUACCUGUCGCAUGCCACUACGGCACCGCCUCCUCUAUCUAUGUAAUUUGGGAAAGAUGUUCAAUAGGAAAACAAAGGAGCACGUGGGAGAGAGGGAUCAUUUUAAUUUUAUUUGGAGUGGUGUUUAAUUUUGGCUCUCAAAAUUGUGAUCUUUAAUAUUUAUCGUUUAGAACCUUUAGGUAACAAAAAUGCCAAAAAAGAUCCUGACGGAAAACAAUUUGCAAGGCAAAACAAAAUUUGCAAAGCAAAAGAAAUCCGCAAGACAUAAGUCCAAUGCCACAACUUAUGCUCAGGGCGUAAGUACAAUGACACAAGGUAUGCCCCAUGGCAUAAAUUCAGCUGCACAAGUUAUGUCCAAGACUUAAGUUUAGUGACAAAAGUUAUGUCGUUAGGCACAAGUUCAAUGGCAUAAGUAACGUCUAUCGAACUUAUGCCCAAGGCACAAGUUAUGCCUACUGAACUUAUGCCCCAAGAAAAAGUUAUAAAGGCACAAGUUACGCAUACUGAACUUAUGCCCCAAGCAAAGAUUUUUAAAAAGUUUUCCUUGCGAAUUUAGAUAGUACCAAACUUAUGCCCCAAGACAAAGAUUCUCUUUCCUGCAAAAUUAGGUCAUAAUUAUUAUGAAAUGGAUAAACGUGUAAAAAAAUUUAAAAAUUUGUGUACAAGUAAAAUUGCACU